ACCAUGUGGUUGCUGGGAUUUGAACUUCGGACCUUCGGAAGAACAGUCGGGUGCUCUUACCCACUGAGCCAUCUCACCAGCCCGAAUGAUCUUUCCAACAUUAAUUAUAAAACUGAAGAGACAGGCAAGCUACUCAGCCUCAGUUUCCCCAGGGGAUGAUUUUUUUCUGCUAUCUGGCAGCUUUUUGUGCCAUCGUUUGGGACUGGGGACUGGGUGUUUCUAGUCUUGUUCUGGUGUCAGGGCAAUGCUGGCCUCGUGCAGUACGUUUGAAGCAUUUUCUCUAACGUUUUUUGAAGAGUUUGAGAGGAUUGGUGCUAGCUGUUCAUUAGGUGUUCAGUAGCUUUCUCCUGGUCUCUGUUCUCAUUGUCUUGCUCUGGGCACAAACUCAGAUACUUAUGGGCGGGCAAGUCCUGGCCAGGCUGACAACUCUGUUUUGUUAUGUGAUUAAGCUCAGAGGUCACUCCUCUCAUGUAGGUCACCUCAAAUGGCCUUGGCCAUUCCUGACAGGGUUUUCAGAAUGCAAGCCUGUUAUGUAACAUAAAACAGACCAGACAUAAGGAAAGUCUGGGUUAACUCCAUGCAACUGUAGAUUACUUGUGUUUUCUAGGGACACUCCUAAUUAAAAUAAGAAACAAAUGAUACUUUCCAAUAGAGUGUAUAAAACCAGCACAUAUACCAUGGCAGAGAGCCCUCUCUCUUAACUGAUUCAACUCAGUAAUAGUAGUAACCGUGCCAACAGAGAAAUGGGAGAGUACCUGCCUGGCCAAACUGACAACCAGAGCUCAGUAGUCAGAGUGAAAAGAGGGCACUACACACACUCCAGACUUGGCCUCUGAUUCCCACAGUGCACUGUGACAUGUGCGCACAUCACACACACACACCAAUAAUAAUGAUUACAGUUUAAAAAUAGGGGCUGGAGAGAUGGCUCAGUGGUUUAGAGCACUGACUGUUCUUCCAAAGGUCAAAGGUCGUGAUUCAAUUCCCAGCAACCACAUGGUGGCUCACAACUAUCUAUAAAGGGAUCUGAUACCCUCUUUUGGGGUCUGUCUGAAGACAGUGACAGUGUACUCACAUACAUAAAAUAAACCUUAUUUUUCUGUACUUGGGUACUUUUGCUUGCCUGUAUGUAUAUCUCUGAAACAUAUGUUUGCAGUGCUGUGGAGGUCAGACAGGGCAUCAGCUCCCCUGGAGUUGGAGUUACAAAUAAUUGUGAGCUGCCAUGUGAGUGAUGGCAACCAAACCCAGUCCUCUGUAAGAGCAGCCACUGAUCUCAACCUCUGAGCCAGCUCUCAGCCCCCUUUAAAAUACGCACUCACCAUGUCAUUAAACUGUGAGAGUGUCACCCCCAAAAUGUCCUAAGGCCCUAGGUUAAAGUGUUACUAUCAUUUAGAAAUAUAAGCCAGUAUUUUUUGUUUGUUUGUUUUUUGUUUUUGGUGUUGUUGUUGUUGUUAUUUCUUUUUUGAGACAGGGUUUCUCUGUGUAGCCCUGGCUGUCCUGGAACUCACUCUGUAGACCAGGCUGGCCUCGAACUCAGAAAUCCGCCUGCCGAUUAUUAGACAUCUUUUGUGUGACUAAUCUCGUCCCCGACUCUGUAGUUUAGAAGGAUGAUGAAGACAAAUCUUUUUAGGAAAUCCACCCCAGAUUAAAAGAUUAAAAUGUUGGGCUAGAGAAGUGGCUUCAUGCUUAAGAACAUGUAUUGCUCCUGUACAAAACCCCAAUUCAGUCCCUAGCAUCUACAUGGGACUCACAACAGCCUUUAACUCCAGUUCCAGAAGACCGCUGGGAUAUAAUAUAUAAUAACCCUAUCUGGUCUCCUCAGGCUUGUAUUCUAUAUAAUAUAAUAUCCUCAUCCAGUCUCCGCAGACACCUCUAUGCAUGUGGUGCACAUAAACUCAGGUGUAGGCACACACAAAUACAUUUGAAACAAACUAAAACAAAAAUGAUGAUGUUGUCCAGAGAGAGAGAGUGAACUUACAUGUUACCUGGAUGAUGAGUAAUUGGUUAAUAGUACUGGAUAAAGAUAAGCAUAAACCAGUGAUCUGAGACAAGGUGGUACUCUCGCCAGAGAUCGAGUGCAGUGAUAUACUGUUCAGAGUUGAACAAAGGGCGACAGUGAAAGAUAGUGUAACGUGAGGACCUGUUGUGACAGGUUCUGAGUCCCUGAGGAGUAGGUUUCCAGGAGAGGAUGCUCAUAGCCUGUCAUUCCUGCAGGAAGCUUGGGACAGGAGACCCUUGAAAAUUCCAGAUUGGCCUGGACCAACCUGUCUCUCAUUCUCCCCCCCCCCCCCCCCGUCUGUCUCUGUCUCUUUCACUCUCUCUCUCACUGUGAACAUUUUUAAAAGAAAAUACAGCUCUUAUUUUAAAGGGAAUAAGAGAUAAUUUGUUCUGAGUUCAGCAUGGGUGAACAUGAACAGGGACUCUGAUUAUCCUCCGUGGCAUGUUCCAUAGUAGAAAUGGUCACAUAGCAAAAGACAGCCAUAGUCAAUGCUUUUAUGGAAAAAAAUUGUGGGGAUAUCAGGUAGACAAGUUAACAAAGCUUUGCGAUAAAAUGUUUAUGAGAGAGCUGGGCAGUGGUGGUGUACGCCUUUAAUCCCAGCACUUGGGAGGCAGAGGCAGGUGGAUUUAUGAGUUCGAGGCCAGCCUGGUCUACAAAGUGAGUUCCAGGACAGCCAGGACUAUACAGAGAAACCCUGUCUUGAAAAAAACAAC
This 2709-nucleotide long non-coding RNA is filed under the name Mus musculus (house mouse). Its description in RNAcentral is "long non-coding RNA chr11:78137345-78140054". Lineage: Eukaryota; Metazoa; Chordata; Mammalia; Rodentia; Muridae. The record is from RNAcentral.